UGGGGAAUCUUGCACAAUGGGGGCAACCCUGAUGCAGCGACGCCGCGUGAGCGAUGAAGCCCUUCGGGGCGUAAAGCUCUUUCGACCGGAACGAUAAUGACGGUACCGGGAGAAGAAGCUGCGGCUAACUACGUGCCAGCAGCCGCGGUAAUACGUAGGCAGCAAGAGUUGUUCGGAGUUACUGGGCGUAAAGAGUGCGUAGGCGGUUUUCUAAGUUCGGUGUGAAAUCUCCCGGCUUAACUGGGAGGGUGCGCCGAAGACUGGGAAGCUGGAGUGUGGGAAAGGCAGGCGGAAUUCCUGGUGUAGCGGUGAAAUGCGUAGAUAUCAGGAGGAACACCGGCGGUGUAGACGGCUUGCUAGACCAUAACUGACGCUGAGGCACGAAAGCGUGGGUAGCAAACA
Molecule: ribosomal RNA, 402 nt
Filed under: uncultured bacterium
Lineage: Bacteria
Description: bacterial SSU rRNA
Rfam family: Bacterial small subunit ribosomal RNA
Source: RNAcentral